This 348-nucleotide transfer-messenger RNA is filed under the name Erysipelotrichaceae. RNAcentral describes it as "UBA636 sp902803275 Standard tmRNA". It matches the Rfam family "transfer-messenger RNA". From Rfam's summary of the family: Bacterial tmRNA, also known as 10Sa RNA or SsrA, is named for its dual tRNA and mRNA-like properties. Its role is to liberate the mRNA from a stalled ribosome. RNAcentral also lists the same sequence under 1 other name. The record is from RNAcentral. Lineage: Bacteria; Bacillati; Bacillota; Erysipelotrichia; Erysipelotrichales.
GGGGUCGAAUUUGGUUUCGACUGGUCUAGUCUGAUUCAGACUGCAGUGGAGUGAUGACCUAAUCAUCAAAACAAAAUAAACGCUAACACUGAAUUAGCAUUCGCUUAAUCAACAGCCGACGUAGGCUUUAAGCACUUCUGUCUGUAAAGCUUGUAGCAGGCAGUCGUAUACACAAGCUAGGUGAAGCAAGUUUAGUUCUUCUCUUGCCAUCCGAAAACCGAAAAGACAAAUUCAAUAUCCGGCUGUUUAAAUCCAUAGGUAUUGUCUUAUUUAAAUUUAAACUAAACUGUAGACGUUUGAAUGUGGGAUUAUUCUAGGACGAGGGUUCGAGUCCCUCCGACUCCACCA